This 27-nucleotide small RNA is filed under the name Bombyx mori (domestic silkworm). RNAcentral's name for it is "ovarian small RNA-17888". The record is from RNAcentral. Lineage: Eukaryota; Metazoa; Arthropoda; Insecta; Lepidoptera; Bombycidae.
GUGCUAGAGAUAAUAUUUGUAUGUUGC